RNAcentral lists this transfer RNA (73 nucleotides) under Stenotrophomonas maltophilia. RNAcentral's name for it is "tRNA-Asn". It matches the Rfam family "tRNA". Rfam says of the family: Transfer RNA (tRNA) molecules are approximately 80 nucleotides in length. Their secondary structure includes four short double-helical elements and three loops (D, anti-codon, and T loops). The record is from RNAcentral. Lineage: Bacteria; Pseudomonadati; Pseudomonadota; Gammaproteobacteria; Lysobacterales; Lysobacteraceae.
GCCCGAAUAGCUCAGCCGGUUAGAGCACUUGACUGUUAAUCAGGGGGUCGUUGGUUCGAGUCCAACGUCGGGC